AGUUCUCAGGGCGGAGUGAAAUUCUCCACCGGUGGUGAAAAUAUAAAAUACAAUAAUAUAUUAAAGUCCACGAGCAUAGAUGAUGAGAUAAAUAAUAAAUGAAUAUAUUUCUAUGCUGAUUUGGUGCAACUCCAAAACCGACAGUAAAAGUCUGGAUGAAAGAGAAU
Molecule: non-coding RNA, 167 nt
Filed under: uncultured Methanosphaera sp.
Lineage: Archaea; Methanobacteriati; Methanobacteriota; Methanobacteria; Methanobacteriales; Methanobacteriaceae
Description: FMN riboswitch (RFN element)
Rfam family: FMN riboswitch aptamer (RFN element)
About the family: The RFN element is a highly conserved domain that is found frequently in the 5'-untranslated regions of prokaryotic mRNAs that encode for flavin mononucleotide (FMN) biosynthesis and transport proteins. This element is a metabolite-dependent riboswitch that directly binds FMN in the absence of proteins.
Source: RNAcentral